Long non-coding RNA from Gorilla gorilla gorilla (western lowland gorilla), 1770 nucleotides. RefSeq lists it as uncharacterized. The transcript is spliced from 3 exons. The record is from RefSeq and is a predicted model, not a curated record. NCBI's taxonomy places the organism in Eukaryota, Metazoa, Chordata, Mammalia, Primates, Hominidae.
AUGGGCCGUUGAGCUUGUUCACUGCCAUGAUCACCGCCACGACGUCUUUGCCAUUCAUGAUGGGUGUGGCCAGCAUAUUCUUUGUCUUGUAGUCGGUGAGCUCGUCCGCAAAUGAGCUGAAGUGAGGGCACUGCCGCAAGAGAGGAAAGAGGCUAAAGAGGCUGUCGCUCCGUAGGCCUGGAGCCCGCACCACUGGGGUUGUCGUCAAGCUCUGUGGGGGCUGCUGCCCUCCAGGUGUGAGGUGCCCGGGGGCCCUGCUGGGCACUGGGAUGUGGCCACCGGGCGGUGAAAGCUGGGCCUGUCCCUGUGGCUCCAGCCUGGCUCCAUGCACCCCUGUGCGGAGGACGCUGGUGCCCCCCAGUGCUCAGUCCAGCAGACUUGGACAGGCCUCAUGGGGGGCCCCGCCCUGCCUGGCACCUCCCGCACCUGCCGCCCUCCGGCCACGUUGGGCCUCCUGGAUGCCUGUUGAGCCUGCCUGCUCGCCUUGUCCCUGAAGCCUCCUGCCUUCAGGCCCCUCCUGCCUCUCCUGCCUUCAGGCCCCUGCAGGACACUCCUACACUCUUCCCUGAGAGACAGCCAUUGGGACGGUGGCCCUGCAGCGGCAGAGGGCAGACGCCUCGCAACUCCCCUCCACCCCCUUCCCCUGCAGCAAGGUUGAGAGGUCAGAGGAAGCCUGCUGGGGGCUGGCCGAGGUGCUAGCGUGCUCCUAAAUGGCACCCACCCUUCCUGCUCCUCAUUUCCUGAUUCUUGGAGAUACAGCUGCUGCCCAUAGCCAUGUGGGCUGGCAUUGAAGGAAAACCAGCAUUUAAAAGAUGGUGGAGCAGGAAGACGGCUGCUCCUGGGUCCCCUGCCUUCCUGGCUGCAUCACUGGUCUCAGCAGGCACCUGGCUCCAUUUCAGCUGUCCCAGCUGAGGUGGGCUGCCGUUACCAUCCUUAUGCCGACAGCCUCUCUCCUUCACCACUGGCCCCAUUCACUCCCUGGUCCUUCCAGGCCUGUGCCAGAUACACCCUUGGUCCCAGCACUGAGACCUUCACGCUGAGGCUUUGUGACUGCAGCCUCUUUGUGUCUCACCAGCCCCCACACCCUUAGGAGCGAGAGGAACAGCUCCUUAGAGGUCCAGAGCAGGCAGCCAGAAUUGGGGCUUGGCCACCGCGGAGGUUCUGCCAGAAGCUAUGCUCCUCUGAGCAGCUGGUUUUGAGUGGGGUUGCCCCUCGUUCCUCCUUCCCUGUACCUUGUCAGGCUUCUGCGAGCAGCUGGCCCAGCCCAGGGGCUCCCCAGGAACAUCUGCUCCAAACCCUGGCUUGCACUCUGCCCUCUGCCCUCCUCAGCUUCCCUGACACCACAGGGAAUGUUUACUUUUUUGUAAAUCUGCCAUCGAGACUGCGAAGAGUCCCACGUGGAAACAUCCGGCCACUCUCUCACUGACACCUGCUCUCCUUUCCCCAGCGUCUGGUCACUCUGCUGCCCAUGCAUGGAUGGGCACUCGGUACCAGCGAGGCCACAGCCACCUUGGUCCCAGCUUGGCUGGUGCAGCUUCUAGCCUCAGCGGCUCCCUCCUGCUGCCCCUUGUGGCCCAGCAGCCCGACCCCAGCCCAGCCUUCACUUCCUGAGAUGACAGCCCUGCAAACUCCCCUCGGCCACAGGGAUGGAUCCCUCGGCCUCCCUGUCCGACUGCCAGCUGCCCCACCCAUUGUGAAAUGCAGCCACACCAUCGUGCGUCUGUCGGUGAAGAUUAACACGUGGCCCCUGCUGGCCCCCCGUCUCUCCUC